RNAcentral lists this transfer RNA (707 nucleotides) under uncultured cyanobacterium. RNAcentral describes it as "partial miscellaneous RNA". The stretch from base 263 to 335 matches the Rfam family "tRNA". Lineage: Bacteria; Bacillati; Cyanobacteriota. The record is from RNAcentral.
CAGGGAGACUAAACUGAUUGUGAUGUCUGAGUUAAAUAUUCUUAGGCCACAAUCCUGUCACCUUAGGUCGAUCGGUACCUCAGUUUGAUUUUUAAUUAAAUAUUGAACAUUCAUUAUUUAAUUCGAAAUCAUUUUUAGUUCCUAAACUUGUCUAGGUCACACCCAAAUGGUUCUCCUGGGCCAUUAGCUCAGGUGGUUAGAGCGCACCCCUGAUAAGGGUGAGGUCCCUGGUUCAAGUCCAGGAUGGCCCAUUCGGUGUUGGGGGGGUAUAGCUCAGUUGGUAGAGCGCCUGCUUUGCAAGCAGGAUGUCAGCGGUUCGAGUCCGCUUACCUCCACUGAAUAACCACCAGAUAUACCAACCCGAUGGAGAUAUUUUGAAUGUGAUUUAGAUGUUGUUUUUCUGAAUAGACCCUAGCUUUCUAUCAUUCCCUAUUUUUUAUAAUUGGUUGAUAACAAGCUGGGCUCUCUGAAGUUCUUAUGAAUUUCAGCGAUGUUCAGUAGAACCUUGACAACUGCAUAGAUUAGUCUGGAAAGAAUAAAGCAUCUCAUAGAUGCAUAAUUCUUUUAGUUUAGAUAUUGGAUAUUGAAUUAAUCAGUAUUCUUUUCUGAAUUAAUAGGAUUAAUGUUUAAUUCUAUAAUUAAGAGCCGAUACUCUAUAACUUUAUUUUGAACUUUUUAGUUAAUAAUAAAAGUUAUAUGAGUUUGAU